GUGAAACUGCAAACUCAAUUGAACCACCAGAAAAGAGUUGUGGCUCUCAAGAAUUUGGUAAGCUAUGUGGUUUGAACACAUGUUUUUCAUGCAAUAGCACAACUCGCAAAUUGUUCGAGGGACCAUUCAGAUACCAUGCCGAACAACUAUGAGAGGAAGUUAUCCACUCAACGGCACAUAUUUUCAAGUUAAUGAGGUGUUCACUGACAAUGAAUCUAGCAUUAACCCAAUUGACAUUCCGAGGGCUUCGAUAUGGAAUUUGCCAAGAUGCACAAUAUUCUUUGGGACCUCUAUUCCAACAAUAUUUAGAGGUCUAUCAACAUAAAGCAUUCAAUACUGCUUUUGGAGAGUCCGACGACCCGACCGAAUCCGACUGCAACCCGACCACAUUUCGGUCAGAGCCCGACAAGUGGUUCGGUCGGUUUCAGGUGCAAUUUUCAAAAUCCGACAAACAGUAAGGUCGGGUCCAACCCGACCCAAAUCCAACCAAACCCGACCCGUGGAUAGCCCUAAUUAUAUAGAUGGCUUCAAGUUGAAAAUUUCAGUCAUUUGAGGAUAAAGGAAUUGUAAUAUUACCAUAUCCCUGGAAAGGUAAAUUUUAAUGUCUUGUUUUAAGGAAUUUUGUUGAUAUCGUGCAUCUUUUGGAAAAUUGUUAAGAGUUGAAUGUUUGCAGAAGUUUUUUUUGGGCUUGUCAUUGAAGAAUUAAAACAUUUCAAUAGCAAAAUAAAGGUUCCUUUUGCGCCUUGAAUAAGAUAGAGGUACCAAAUUCCUUCAAUUUGUUCAAUUCAAAUUCCAUAAAAUCCGUGGUUCAAUUCAAUAACCUCUUGCUAUUUCUCUACUAUCAUCACAACGAAAACAAAAAAGACUUCUCAACUACAAAAUUCAUCCAAUGAGCAUGUGGAAACGUGCUAAGCAUUGCACUAGUAUAUGUAAAUUAUCUCAUAUCAAUGUACGGAACUUGAAUCCUUUACUUAAGAAUCUUUUAACAUAUUUACAUAUAUUUUUUAAUAUGCCAACAACAAAAACAAGCAUCAUAAGCAAUAAAAUGGAUUUGUAAAUUAUUGCAUGUCCAUGUGCUGAAGACAUUACCAGCCAUUAAAACCAAAGGGCACGUAGACUUGUGAAGAACGUUGCCUUGCCCCUAGUACUAAGUAAAGGACGGGUGAUUUUAUUUAACGAUGUAAAGUUUCCGCAAGUUUCGACAAAUUACGGGUUCAAUUUGCACAGAUUUGUUAUUUCAAGUUUGUAUUUUCUUUGUUUUCACUUCACUUAGAUUUUUUUUGGUUGACAUGGACUCCAAGCAGUGAUUUGGUAUUUAUUUUGGUGUUCUGGAUCUUCUGCCCUUUUCGUGGCUUUGAAGAGGUUGGAGGUUAAUUGCUGUUGUGGCGCCGCAUCGAGGCACUGGUCAUGUCUCCCAUCCACAGUCAAGGAUAUGAUUUUUCCACUAAUGGAAACUGUAUAUUGGUGCUUGCCUGCCACACAACAUUUGCAGUUGGAUAGUUUACUUAAGCUUGGUUUUCAUGGCAAGAUUCCAUGUUUGGCUGUUCGGACAUAAAUUGCUGUAUGCCAAGGCUUCUUUAUCUCCACUAUAUACAACUCCUGAGGACAUAUGUUGAGUUAUUUGUUGAAUAUCUUCAUGAGGUUUAGAUUAUUACUAGAAAAUAAAUAAAAGGGUGCCGUCCUGGAUAUUAUUUGUUUUCUUGUUGAGGUCCUCUUGCAUUUGGAAGUUUACAGAGGAAAGUGCGGUAGUUUUACAUCUACGCUGGAUGAGGUAGUGAUGCUCAGAGAAGGUCGCUGGUCGCACAUUUGCAUGGCGUUGACAGUUUUUAGUCUCUCGCUCAAUGGCAACUCUUUCUCAUGCAGGUUCUUUUGGGAUUCUCUAUUCUUGUUGGUGCUAAUGCUUGGGAGGAUCUACUGGAUUGGGAUCGAGAAGCCAUGAAGCUCAAAAGGAUCAAUGCAACUAGAUUAAGACAGUGGUGGACUAACAAUGUAGCUAUAGUCUUGAACAUCUUUCAUAAUUGUUUAGUUUCAUACUUAAAUUUUGAUUUAGUGUUCUCAAACGUAAUCAGAUUGUUAUGCAUGCUCAGACAA
Molecule: long non-coding RNA, 2091 nt
Organism: Rhododendron vialii
Lineage: Eukaryota; Viridiplantae; Streptophyta; Magnoliopsida; Ericales; Ericaceae
Exons: 8
Source: RefSeq, a predicted model, not a curated record